GACGAACGCUGGCGGCGUGCUUAACACAUGCAAGUCGAACGGGCCUUGUCCCCUUUUUUUUUGGGGGUGGGGUUAGUGGCGAACGGGUGAGUAACACGUGAGUAACCUGCCCCUCACUUCUGGAUAACCGCUUGAAAGGGUGGCUAAUACGGGGUGUUCUGGCCUGCUCGCAUGGGUGGGUUUGGAAAGAUUCGACCGGUUUUGGUUGUUUUGGUGGGGGAUGGGCUCGCGGCCUAUCAGCUUGUUGGUGGGGUGAUGGCCUGCCAAGGCUUUGACGGGUAGCCGGCCUGAGAGGGUGGGCGGUCACACUGGGACUGAGACACGGCCCAGACUCCUACGGGAGGCAGCAGUGGGGAAUAUUGCACAAUGGGCGCAAGCCUGAUGCAGCGACGCCGCGUGAGGGAUGGAGGCCUUCGGGUUGUGAACCUCUUUCGCCAGUGAAGAAGGUCCUGCUCUUUGUGGUGGGGUUGACGGUAGCUGGGUUAAUGAAGCGCCGGCUAACUACGUG
RNAcentral lists this ribosomal RNA (508 nucleotides) under uncultured bacterium. RNAcentral's name for it is "partial 16S ribosomal RNA". It matches the Rfam family "Bacterial small subunit ribosomal RNA", at positions 28 to 507 of the family's 1533-position model. The record is from RNAcentral.